Octopus bimaculoides (California two-spot octopus) is the source of this 5207-nucleotide RNA transcript. RefSeq lists it as uncharacterized. Lineage: Eukaryota; Metazoa; Mollusca; Cephalopoda; Octopoda; Octopodidae. The record is from RefSeq and is a predicted model, not a curated record.
AUUGAGUAGAGCGUGAGAUGGCGAUACUCAGAGUUCGUCGUUUGAGCAAAUCUGUACACAUACAGCCAAUAUAUAAAUGUAUGUAUAAACAUACACUGUACACUCACUGUAUAUACUGUACACAUAAUAGAACAACAGCUAUAUAUAGUUGAAAAAAAAAACAACAUUCAUACGCACACACGAACAUUAGUACAUACACACUCACAACACACAUAUAUAGUAUGUGUGUGUAUAUGUGUGUGUGUGUUAAUCACUGCUGAAAUCCAUUAAUAACACACAUGCUCUUUCUACAACGAGUACACAUAUACAGACCAUACCCUAGUCACAUAGACACAUUCAUUCAAACAUACACACACACACACACUGAGAUAUUCACAGCACAAUAGUCAAACACAGCUGAAAUACAUAUACACACACACACAGAGACAAAACCACGCUUCUUUACUAAUGCACGUACACACACAUACAUCUAGACCACACAUACUAGUUACAUCGCACAGUGACGUAUUCAUUCACACACACACACACACAUGUAUUUAUAUAUAUAUAUAUAGAUACACAUACGUAGCUAUGUCUAAAUAUAUACACUCACUGAAGCAAUAGUCGUUUAUAAUGUGAAAGCAGCUACACGGAUUUUUAAACAUGGGCACCGUUUAGUUGUAUAUACACUCACAAAUUCUCAACACACAGUCGCAAUAUACAUAUAUUAUAUAUAUAGAUAUAUCUAUAUAUAUAACUAUGUAUGUAUGUAUUUGUAGAUUUGGAUAGUGAGUGUAUAUGUGGCUGUGUGUGUGUGUGAGAGACAGUGUAAAGACCAACCCUUGCUGUCAAGUGUGUGUAAACGAUGCGAAAGGGAGACGUGUGUAGAGGCGAGACGAAACGAGGAAUUCAAAGAAAGACCUACAUGCAAGGAUUACAUAUUUCUGACCAAUGUCUCCAUACCAUUGUAUCUUUGAGGGAAGCAAGGUUUCAGAUUGAUCCGUGCUGCUGUAUCAGAGAACAAUGUCUAUACAGAAAGGACACAAAAAGAAAGAGAUUAAAACAGAUCCGGCCAGUUUCGAAGGAAAAGGCUUGUUCUUCACGGCGAAAUUCAUCGGGGUCUCUGACGUUGCAGAUUUUCGAGGGAACGCCAUGUGUCAGGAGACAAUGCAGAAGUUAAAGGCUGCCGUGAAGAGCUCUGGAAAACAUAAGUUAAAGAUUCUAGUCAACAUAUCUCUGGAAGGGAUUAAGUUGAUCGAGGAGAAGACAAUGGCUGUGAACUAUGAACAUAUUGUAAGUCGAAUAUCAUUUAUUUCAAUUGACACUACGGAUUCCAGGGCCUUUGGCUACGUCUUUGAACCAGGAGACGGCACCCACAAAUUCUUUGCAAUCAAGACUGAGAAGUCGGCUGGACAUGUUAUCAUCGCCAUAAGGGAUUUGUUUGAGACAGUUUUUGAGAUGAAGAAAAAAGAGAGAGACGAGGCUGCCCAAAAAGAGGCAGAAGAGAAGGAUAAAUCAGCAGUGUGCAGCAUGGCUGAUGGUGCUGCACCAGUCACAGCCGCAGCUGACAAAGACACGACUGAUGAAGCAGAUUAUGGUUAUUCUGUACCUUCAAAUAACAAACCUGUGCCGCAAGCUGCUGUUACUCCAAAUAUCAUAGACCUUGAUACUGAUUUAGAGUACAUUCAACAGGGAAUGGACUCUAUGGGUACUGCUUUGGAGAGCUUCGAUGACUUUCCCUUCGGGCAGGUGACAACAGGGGACACAACUGCUGAUCCGUGGAACAUAAACAAUUCUAAACAGUGCAUUGGGAAUGCAUCUGUGUCGAUUGCUGCUGCAGCUACUGCCGCUGCUCCUGUAGUGUUGCUCCCUCCUCCGCCGGCUUCACCUCGCGUUCCCAUCGGCAGCGCUAUGCCACAGGCACCGGCAGCUUUACCACCCGGUCAGUGUAGUCUUGCGGCCAACCUAUUUCCAGCGUCCAGUGCCUUUCCCUCUGCAGUGUCUUCCAAUGUUCCUGCUCAGCCGUUUCCUGUUUCAGUUCCGUUAACUGUUAACCCGGCAGUUCCAAUAACUGUUAACCCAGCAGUUCCAAUAACUGUUAACCCAGCAGUUCCAAUAACUGUUAACCCAGCAGUUCCAAUAACUGUUAACCCAGCAGUUCCAAUGACUGCUAACCCAGCAGUUCCGAAACCAAUUGAUCCAGCGACAACCCCACCUGAGAUGCCAACCAACAUGACCUGCUCUCUACCCAUUGUUACAGAUCCAUUUGGGGAUAAACUGUUUGUUUCCGCUGUACCUGCACAAGCACCCAACCAAACACCCUUUACAGCCUCUACGUCUACCACACCACCAACUACAGACAAUACUGUACCUUUUGCUGCAUUUCCAGUGAUGAAGCCACCACGUGGCAACACAUUUCCAGUUGCAACACAAAACGUGGCUGCAAAUUUUGCUGCCCAGCAACCGUUUGCUGCAUUCCCUCCUGACCCUGCACAUCCUGUGGCAGGGAAUGCAUUUUCAGCUGCACCACAGCCAGCUGCAUUCUCAGCUGCGUUCUCUGUUAAACCACCGACCCCGGUUACUGGAUUUCCUGUUGGGCAACAAGCAUCAUUUGCUGCAUUCCCAGAGGGGCCACAACCAGCUUUUCUGCCCCUCUCGUCUCCUGACAGCAGUCAGAGAAGCACUCCGAGUAAAUUCGAUGCUAUCUCUUUGGACAGUUCUUUCACUAGCGUCUUCUCUCAGCAGAGUAAUGAGAAACUGGAAAGUGCUUCAACUUUGGCAAAUAAUAAACCAACAGACACUGGUACCAAUCCAGUUCCUCAGACUGACAAGCUUUUCCAGGAUCUCUGCAAUUUCGGCAGCAAUCAGCACCACAAGAAGCCAGCAGAGUUAUUUCCAAAGUUGGAGCCGCCACCAAGCAAAAAAUUAAAUGAAUUACUUGAAGAAAGUAUUAAAUGUAAAGAAUUGCAUGUUCAGAGUUCUAAAACUGAAAAUCCUCUCCCACCCCAGCAGCAGCAGCAGCAACAGCAGCAGCAGCCAUCAGAGCAAGAUGCUACCCCAUCAAAUAAUGACCAGGCAAGUGAAUAUUCAAUAACCUCAGCUCUUCCAGCUGAAAACUUGUUACCUGAUCCCGUGUGCUUUCCUGAACCCACCAAAUUUGAUCAACCCUCAGUUUCUGCUGCUUCUUUUUCCGGUUCCGAUUCCCAGUCUUCUAAUGUCUCUAACGACCAGCCCCAUUCUGAUUCUCCCAGUAUUUUCAGCUUCAGUGGCAACAACCCCACAGAGGUUACCUAUGCAAUGACGAAACUCAAACUUUCAGAUGUUGACUUUAAUAAUCCCCCCUCUCACCCACCUCCGCAACUCCCUUCCCAUCUUCUUGCUGCUGUUUCUGGUCACAACUCGGGGUCAGAGUCUGUGUGUAGCAUUUCGCCCUUUCCAGAUGACCACUGGGCCAUAUCUGAUGACGAAUUUAACCUCCCUUCCCCAACUGUGCCACCCCCUCCACUACCAACAGGUGCUUCCCUUAAUUUCGAACCUGACCAAGCACCAGCUCCCCCACCCCGCCCAAGGACAUCAGAUAUUACAAGAACUGCCAAACCUCCUCCACUUCCUGUUCGUCCAAAACGUACCCUUUCUUCCAGUUCAAGCUUACAAAGUAUGGGAAAAUCCAACUCCCCAGUGUCAUCUGUUGUUUCCCUGGAAGGGACAGUUUUGGCCCAUGGGGCCAUUUCAGAUUGUUCUUUUACAUCACUACAAGACUCAGACGUGUCUACCAAUAGUCUUCCAACGACAAAACUUGCUGACACCAAAGUUAAUACAACAAAGUUUACUGACCGAGGGUCAUCUGUCUCAUCUCCUCUUAGUGUUGCCACUGGCAACAGCAACUCUUCACCCCCUCCUUGGUCUGCAUUUACUGAAAAUGACAAUUCAAGCUCACCUUUUAGUAACCAAAGUUUUUCAAGUGGCGGCCGUGAUGUAUUUGCUUCAAAUUCGUCACAGACUGCCAUUGGUACUGCUAGUUCCCAUGACAGUGGUUGGCCCAACAAUAACCCUUUCAUGUCUAAAGUUAAUACCAGUCCUUCAGUGAGGAACUCUUCAUCACCAGAUCCUUUCAGUGGCCCCUACACCAAAAUAGUUAACAAACGUUCAAAACAGACUCCUCAGACAACCUCCCAGUCUGUAGAAUCUGUUUGUAGUUCAACAUCAGCUCAAAUCCAUAAUAAAUCCAGCCAGCCAGUGUUCAACAGUGUGGAUCCAUUUCGUGUCCUUCAUUGCACAAAGCCACAAUCAAACCAUAACCAGACAAACACAAACAUUUCUGGAUCGUUCUGUAGCGAACUUAACAAUGACUUAUCUGAUCCCUUUGUUGUUCCCCUCCACCUCAAACUACAAACUGAGAAGUCCCCAGUUGACCCUUUUGUGAUACAAACUAAUGUUAAUCUAACACAAAACAAUACUCAAGUGACUCAGUUUUUUCCUUCGACAAAAAAUACCGAAAGGUCAGUUCCAGAGACUGACCUUUCCAUAUACAACAGUCAAACAACUGACAUUGAAAAUGACCCUUUUACAAACCUUAGUCGAAACAGUGGACACUCUGGCAACGUACCAUCAGAUUUAUUUUCCUUUCCCAGCCUCAAUCCCGCUGAAUACUCUCAGACCCAAACUGACCCUUUUGACGCAUUUAAUCAAUGGCCAGUUAAUACAAAAUUCAGUGUGGACAUUGAUAAAAGCAAUGGUCAUUGACCAAGAAGAUCCAGACAUUCUUCAGAUGCAUUUAUUAUUAAUGGUAGAUGGUAGAUCUUUCAUCCAACCGGCUGUGCUCAGCCUCAAUCCCCACGCAGGGGGAGCAAGUUCAGACUGCUAGUUGCCAGGAACCAAUAUAUUCGAUUCCGGUAAGGAAAAUUUAGACAUUCAUUGAGACAUGCAUGGGAAACAAAGCUGUUGGAAUGGAAGAAAUAUAAGCAGCCGGUUUAGCCAGAAUUACAAGAAUUUUUACCUUAGCACAACCAGAAAUGGCUCUUGUUGCUAAGGAAAUAUUACAGAAAACGAAAGAGUGAAUUUAUUAAAAGAAAAAUGUCCAAGAAGUUAUUUCCGAAAGUAAACGACAAUGUAGUAAAGUUUGUCUCAAUAUAAAACUGGAUUGGAAAUUAAUUUUUGAAGUUUCCUUGAAUAUAAUUAUAUAUUUGUAUUUUAGCAAAUUAAUGGAUUAAAAACCCACAAAAGACUGA